This 467-nucleotide ribosomal RNA is filed under the name uncultured bacterium. RNAcentral's name for it is "partial 16S ribosomal RNA". It matches the Rfam family "Bacterial small subunit ribosomal RNA", at positions 28 to 507 of the family's 1533-position model. The record is from RNAcentral.
GACGAACGCUGGCGGCGUGCUUAACACAUGCAAGUCGAACGGAAAGGCCUCUUUCGGGGGGUACUCGAGUGGCGAACGGGUGAGUAACACGUGAGUAACCUGCCCUUGACUUUGGGAUAACUUCAGGAAACUGGGGCUAAUACCGGAUAGGAGCUCCUGCUGCAUGGUGGGGGUUGGAAAGUUUCGGCGGUUGGGGAUGGACUCGCGGCUUAUCAGCUUGUUGGUGGGGUAGUGGCUUACCAAGGCUUUGACGGGUAGCCGGCCUGAGAGGGUGACCGGCCACAUUGGGACUGAGAUACGGCCCAGACUCCUACGGGAGGCCGCAGUGGGGAAUAUUGCACAAUGGGUGGAAGCCUGAUGCAGCAACGCCGUGUGCGGGAUGACGGCCUUCGGGUUGUAAACCGCUUUCGCUCAUGACGAAGCUUUGUGUGACGGUAGUGGGUAAAGAAGCACCGGCUAACUACGUG